Molecule: ribosomal RNA, 451 nt
Filed under: uncultured bacterium
Lineage: Bacteria
Description: partial 16S ribosomal RNA
Rfam family: Bacterial small subunit ribosomal RNA
Source: RNAcentral
AACGAACGCUGGCGGCAUGCCUAACACAUGCAAGUCGAACGCCUGUAGCAAUACAGGAGUGGCAGACGGGUGCAUAACACGUGGGAACCUACCCUUGGGUUCGGAAUAACCGCGGGAAACUGCGGCUAAUACCGGAUACGUCCUAUGGGAGAAAGAUUCAUCGCCCUUGGAGGGGCCCGCGUCGGAUUAGCUAGUUGGUGAGGUAACGGCUCACCAAGGCGACGAUCCGUAGCUGAUCUGAGAGGAUGAUCAGCCACACUGGAACUGAGACACGGUCCAGACUCCUACGGGAGGCAGCAGUGGGGAAUAUUGGACAAUGGGGGCAACCCUGAUCCAGCAAUGCCGCGUGGGUGAUGAAGGCCUUCGGGUUGUAAAGCCCUUUUGGCAGGGACGAUGAUGACGGUACCUGCAGAAUAAGCCCCGGCUAACUUCGUGCCAGCCGCCGCGGUAA